Molecule: non-coding RNA, 1159 nt
Organism: Aegilops tauschii subsp. strangulata
Lineage: Eukaryota; Viridiplantae; Streptophyta; Magnoliopsida; Poales; Poaceae
Source: RefSeq, a predicted model, not a curated record
CAUGGUUUGGGGCAAAAGAUCUCUGUCAUGAUGGACGUGAGCAUGCUCGAGUGCCCCCUCUGUCGGCGCCCCUUGAAGUCUCUCGUCUUCCAGUGCAAGGGCGGGCACCUGGCCUGCGACCGCUGCCACCGGGAGGACUACCGGAAGUACGAUCAUGCCGGCGCCUUCGAUGUCCGCAACAGGUGGAUGGAGUCCGUCACCUCAUUGAUUACGACCAAGUGCGACCACGACGGCUGCGGGCGCUACGUCACCUACUACAAGCUUGCCGAUCACCGCGGCGCGCGGCCCUGCAGGUGCCCUGAGCCCGGUUCCUAGUUCAAUCCAUUAUUUCCUGCCCUUGUUGUUAAUUCCUGAAGUUCAAUCAUGGUGCCUACCCUUGCUGUUGGUUUAUCCCUGGAGGUGGUUUUCGACAACCUGAGAUGCAGAUGCAAUGCCUCCAAAUCUUUGGCUCCAGGAGAAGGAGGAGAGCAAGGUCCUCAAGUCCCUGGGGUUUGUCUUUGUUUCUUUUUUGUGGAAUCUGCUCUGAACUUCUCAACAGAGGGGGGAAGCCUUCAUGUGUUCUGCGCGAGGGAUUCUUCUUCCACUCCGUCGCCUAUCCGCCCCUCUGGUGGCCGAUUCUUCUUCGACUCCGGCACAUAUGCGCUGAUGGAGCUUUGUGCACAUGCCCUGAUGAUGACACUUGUGAUGAUCUGGGCUCCCAUGAUGGUGCUCCGGGGCCUCCGCGAUGGUGGUUCUGCAGUUGUUUGUCUCCUUAUCCACAAUCGCUCGCGCGCCGGAUAGGAGGGGGCGACCACUUCUUCCUUUCUUGGGCAACGACGUGUCAUGAGUACAGAGUUGGCUGCUCCCUGCUCCUCCGACCCUGCUAGUGCCGACACCAUGGAGCUCUUUAAGGUGCACGAGUGACCGCCGUGUGGUGUGCUAAGGGGAUAACACUCCGACGGCCCUCCGAUGGCCUCUUCUUCUUCGACUCCAGCAUAUGUAAGCCGUGUGCUGCUGGCUCAUUUCUGCUGCUCUCUCACAUUUCUCAUAAUUGUGCAGCAGUAUACAACAAGAAAAAAAAUGUUGUUCCAAGAUAAAUCAUUUUGCUGUGAUGUAUGGAUCGACAUGUUUUGUACGGAUUGGCUUGGUUUUUACAACGACUGCACUUGUUUUGUGUCAA